UAAUACGUAGGGGGCAAGCGUUGUCCGGAAUUAUUGGGCGUAAAGCGCGCGCAGGCGGUUCGUUCAGUUGGGUGUUUAAGCCCGGGGCUCAACCCCGGUUCGCAUCCAAAACUGGCGAACUUGAGUGUAGGAGAGGAAAGUGGAAUUCCACGUGUAGCGGUGAAAUGCGUAGAGAUGUGGAGGAACACCAGUGGCGAAGGCGACUUUCUGGCCUAUAACUGACGCUGAGGCGCGAAAGCGUGGGGAGCAAACAGGAUUAGAUACCCUGGUAGUCCACGCCGUAAACGAUGCAUACUAGGUGUCGGGGAUUCGAUUUCUCGGUGCCGAAGUCAACACAGUAAGUAUGCCGCCUGGGGAGUACGCUCGCAAGAGUGAAACUCAAAUGAAUUGACGG
Molecule: ribosomal RNA, 394 nt
Filed under: uncultured bacterium
Lineage: Bacteria
Description: bacterial SSU rRNA
Rfam family: Bacterial small subunit ribosomal RNA
Source: RNAcentral